CUACAGGGGUAGGAGUGAAAUCUUGUAAUCCCUGUGGGACCACCAGUGGCGAAGGCGUCUUACCAGAACGGGUCCGACGGUGAGGGACGAAAGCUGGGGGCACGAACCGGAUUAGAUACCCGGGUAGUCCCAGCCGUAAACGAUGCUCGCUAGGUGUCUGGAAUGGUGCGACCGUUUCAGGUGCCGCAGGGAAGCCGUGAAGCGAGCCACCUGGGAAGUACGGCCGCAAGGCUGAAACUUAAAGGAAUUGGCGGGGGAGCACUACAACGGGUGGAGCCUGCGGUUUAAUUGGACUCAACGCCGGACAACUCACCGGGGGCGACAGCAAUAUGUAGGUCAAGCUAAAGACUUUACCUGAAUCGCUGAGAGGAGGUGCAUGGCCGUCGUCAGUUCGUACUGUGAAGCAUCCUGUUAAGUCAGGCAACGAGCGAGACCCGUGCCCACUGUUGCCAGCAUAUCCUUUGGGAUGAUGGGUACUCUGUGGGGACCGCCGAUGCUAAAUCGGAGGAAGGUGCGGGCUACGGUAGGUCAGUAUGCCCCGAAUCUCCCGGGCGACACGGGGGCUACAAUGGUUGGGACAAUGGGCUCCUACACUGAAAAGUGACGGUAAUCUCAUAAACCCAGCCGUAGUUCGAAUUGAGGGCUGAAACCCGCCCUCAUGAAGCUGGAAUCCGUAGUAAUCGCGUUUCAAUAUGCGCGGUG
This 702-nucleotide ribosomal RNA is filed under the name uncultured Methanohalophilus sp. RNAcentral describes it as "bacterial SSU rRNA". It matches the Rfam family "Archaeal small subunit ribosomal RNA", at positions 618 to 1320 of the family's 1478-position model. The record is from RNAcentral. Lineage: Archaea; Methanobacteriati; Methanobacteriota; Methanomicrobia; Methanosarcinales; Methanosarcinaceae.